AACGAACGCUGACGGCAUGCCUAACACAUGCAAGUCGAACGAGAUCUUCGAGUCUAGUGGCGCACGGGUGCGUAACGCGUGGGAAUCUGCCCUUUGGUUCGGAGUAACAGUUGGAAACGACUGCUAAUACCGGAUGAUGACGAAAGUCCAAAGAUUUAUCGCCAGAGGAUGAGCCCGCGUAGGAUUAGCUAGUUGGUGUGGUAAAGGCGCACCAAGGCGACGAUCCUUAGCUGGUCUGAGAGGAUGAUCAGCCACACUGGACUGAGACACGGCCCAGACUCCUACGGGAGGCAGCAGUGGGGAAUAUUGGACAAUGGGCGAAAGCCUGAUCCAGCCAUGCCGCGUGAGUGAUGAAGGCCUUAGGGUUGUAAAGCUCUUUUACCCGGGAUGAUAAUGACAGUACCGGGAGAAUAAGCUCCGGCUAACUCCGUGCCAGCCGCCGCCGUAA
RNAcentral lists this ribosomal RNA (448 nucleotides) under uncultured bacterium. RNAcentral describes it as "partial 16S ribosomal RNA". It matches the Rfam family "Bacterial small subunit ribosomal RNA", at positions 29 to 523 of the family's 1533-position model. The record is from RNAcentral.